AACUUUCAACAACGGAUCUCUUGGUUCUGGCAUCGAUGAAGAACGCAGCGAAAUGCGAUAAGUAAUGUGAAUUGCAGAAUUCAGUGAAUCAUCGAAUCUUUGAACGCACAUUGCGCCCGCCAGUAUUCUGGCGGGCAUGCCUGUUCGAGCGUCAUUUCAACCAUCAAGCCCCCG
RNAcentral lists this ribosomal RNA (174 nucleotides) under Thielavia sp. XF11. Its description in RNAcentral is "5.8S ribosomal RNA". The stretch from base 1 to 154 matches the Rfam family "5.8S ribosomal RNA". From Rfam's summary of the family: 5.8S ribosomal RNA (5.8S rRNA) is a component of the large subunit of the eukaryotic ribosome. It is transcribed by RNA polymerase I as part of the 45S precursor that also contains 18S and 28S rRNA. Functionally, it is thought that 5.8S rRNA may be involved in ribosome translocation. The record is from RNAcentral. Lineage: Eukaryota; Fungi; Ascomycota; Sordariomycetes; Coronophorales; Ceratostomataceae. RNAcentral also lists the same sequence under 2 other names.